AUUUAAGUGAACGAUUAUAUAUAAUGUCUCCAUGGUAAAUCACAGUAGAAUAUCUCUUUAGUUGUGGCUUUCACUCUAUUUCUGACUUAUUUGGACAAGGAUUUUUUUUAGUACGAAAUGUGCUGAAAAAUCUGUACGAUUUCACUGCCAGAUGUGGAUUCAAGAUGAAUGCAAGAUUCACCUGAUAAUGAUUACGAUAUGAAGAGAAGAGUUGACUGAAAGAUACAAGAAACUAAUGUUUUAAUGUUAUUCAACCACAAUGAAAAAUAUAUUUUAUAUUAUAAUAAUCAUAAAAAAAUGAAGUCAACGCUCUGUAACGCCAUCUACCGUGAACCCAUCUGCAAGAAGCCGAGAUGCUAUUAGGAUUUAUUUAAAUGUAAUCAAAGUAUUAGAAAUGUAUCAGUUAUGUAACAUAUGAAGACAAUAUCUUUAAUACAGUACAGUAAUUCAAAUACGUAAUUGAUUGAUGAAUUAGAUAGGCCUAUGGUAUAUGUAUUAAUAAAUUUAUGCUGUAUGCCGGCAAAGAAUGGUACAGACACAAGAAGACUGGAGGUAAGUGGGUUAGUUAUUUACUCAAAGAUCUUGUAACAAAAUAGCGCUCUCACCUAUUUG
Molecule: long non-coding RNA, 612 nt
Organism: Anneissia japonica
Lineage: Eukaryota; Metazoa; Echinodermata; Crinoidea; Comatulida; Comatulidae
Exons: 3
Source: RefSeq, a predicted model, not a curated record